AUUGAACGCUGGCGGCAGGCUUAACACAUGCAAGUCGAACGAGUGGCGGACGGGUGAGUAAUGCUUGGGAAUCUGGCUUAUGGAGGGGGAUAACUACGGGAAACUGUAGCUAAUACCGCGUACCAUAGGAUGAGCCCAGGUGGGAUUAGGUAGUUGGUGAGGUAAAGGCUCACCAAGCCGACGAGCUCUCGCUGGUCUGAGAGGAUGACGAGCCACGCGUGGACUGGGACGCGGCCCAAAAUCCUACGGGAGGCAUGGGGGGGGAAUAUUGCGCAAGGGGGGGAACCAAACGCGGGCAUGCCGGGUGAAUGAGGAAGGCCUUCGGGUUGUAAAGUGCUUUCGGUAGCGAGGCGUUAACUACAGAAGAAGCACCGGCUAACUCCGUGCCAGCAGCCGCGGUAAUUC
Molecule: ribosomal RNA, 405 nt
Filed under: uncultured bacterium
Lineage: Bacteria
Description: partial 16S ribosomal RNA
Rfam family: Bacterial small subunit ribosomal RNA
Source: RNAcentral